GAUGAAGAACGUAGCGAAAUGUGAUAAGUAAUGCGAAUUGCAGAAUUUCCGUGAGUCAUCGAAUCUUUGAACGCACAUUGCGCCCGCCAGUAUUCUGGCGGGCAUGCCUGUUCGAGCGUCAUUUCAACCAUCAAGCCCCCGGGCUUGCGUUGGGGCCCUGCGGCUGCCGCAGGCCCCGAAAAGCAGUGGCGGGCUCGCUGUCACACCGAGCGCAGUAGCGAUUCUCGCUCCGGGCGUCGGCGGCGGGCACCGGCCGUGAAACCCCCCCACAUCCACAAGGUUGACCUCGGAUCAGGUAGGAAUACCCGCUGAACUUAAGCAUAUCAAUAAGCGGAGGA
This 338-nucleotide unclassified non-coding RNA is filed under the name soil metagenome. RNAcentral's name for it is "partial contains 5.8S ribosomal RNA, internal transcribed spacer 2, and large subunit ribosomal RNA". The stretch from base 1 to 121 matches the Rfam family "5.8S ribosomal RNA", at positions 35 to 154 of the family's 154-position model. The record is from RNAcentral.